This 764-nucleotide ribosomal RNA is filed under the name Microbacterium maritypicum. Its description in RNAcentral is "bacterial SSU rRNA". It matches the Rfam family "Bacterial small subunit ribosomal RNA", at positions 27 to 803 of the family's 1533-position model. The record is from RNAcentral. Lineage: Bacteria; Bacillati; Actinomycetota; Actinomycetes; Micrococcales; Microbacteriaceae.
GGAUGAACGCUGGCGGCGUGCUUAACACAUGCAAGUCGAACGGUGAAGCCCAGCUUGCUGGGUGGAUCAGUGGCGAACGGGUGAGUAACACGUGAGCAACCUGCCCCUGACUCUGGGAUAAGCGCUGGAAACGGCGUCUAAUACUGGAUACGAGUAGCGACCGCAUGGUCAGUUACUGGAAAGAUUUAUUGGUUGGGGAUGGGCUCGCGGCCUAUCAGCUUGUUGGUGAGGUAAUGGCUCACCAAGGCGUCGACGGGUAGCCGGCCUGAGAGGGUGACCGGCCACACUGGGACUGAGACACGGCCCAGACUCCUACGGGAGGCAGCAGUGGGGAAUAUUGCACAAUGGGCGCAAGCCUGAUGCAGCAACGCCGCGUGAGGGAUGACGGCCUUCGGGUUGUAAACCUCUUUUAGCAGGGAAGAAGCGAAAGUGACGGUACCUGCAGAAAAAGCGCCGGCUAACUACGUGCCAGCAGCCGCGGUAAUACGUAGGGCGCAAGCGUUAUCCGGAAUUAUUGGGCGUAAAGAGCUCGUAGGCGGUUUGUCGCGUCUGCUGUGAAAUCCGGAGGCUCAACCUCCGGCCUGCAGUGGGUACGGGCAGACUAGAGUGCGGUAGGGGAGAUUGGAAUUCCUGGUGUAGCGGUGGAAUGCGCAGAUAUCAGGAGGAACACCGAUGGCGAAGGCAGAUCUCUGGGCCGUAACUGACGCUGAGGAGCGAAAGGGUGGGGAGCAAACAGGCUUAGAUACCCUGGUAGUCCACCCCGU